Molecule: ribosomal RNA, 497 nt
Filed under: uncultured bacterium
Lineage: Bacteria
Description: partial 16S ribosomal RNA
Rfam family: Bacterial small subunit ribosomal RNA
Source: RNAcentral
GAUGAACGCUGGCGGCGUGCCUAAUACAUGCAAGUCGAGCGAACGGACGAGAAGCUUGCUUCUCUGAUGUUAGCGGCGGACGGGUGAGUAACACGUGGAUAACCUACCUAUAAGACUGGGAUAAUUUCGGGAAACCGGAGCUAAUACCGGAUAAUAUUUUGAACCGCAUUGUUCAAAAGUGAAAGACGGUCUUUCUGUCACUUAUAGAUGGAUCCGCGCUGCAUUAGCUAGUUGGUAAGGUAACGGCUUACCAAGGCAACGAUGCAUAGCCGACCUGAGAGGGUGAUCGGCCACACUGGAACUGAGACACGGUCCAGACUCCUACGGGAGGCAGCAGUAGGGAAUCUUCCGCAAUGGGCGAAAGCCUGACGGAGCAACGCCGCGUGAGUGAUGAAGGUCUUCGGAUCGUAAAACUCUGUUAUUAGGGAAGAACAUAUGUGUAAGUAACUGUGCACAUCUUGACGGUACCUAAUCAGAAAGCCACGGCUAACUACGUG